CGCGCGGUUGACGGACGGGCGCCGAGAGGGCGGGCGGGUGCGAAGCCGAGGGGCGCCGAGCGGGCGGCGACGGCGGGCGGCCUCCGCCCCGGCCGGCCCCGCGCCCUUUGUGAACCCGCCUCCGGGCCCCGCGGCGUGCGGAAGGCGCCCUGUUCCCUCCCCGCCCCCGCCACACGACCCGAGAGAACCUUCCAGAGCCUCCCAGAACCUUCACGUUCCUGAGGCGCCACGUGCUGCCGCGGUGCCCCUGACGGAGCCGCCCAGCGCAGCCCGGGAAGCAGGAUGACUACAGGCUCACAGAAGUUUGCAGGAGUCUAGACAGGGGCCUUGCACGUGUCCUCACGUUCCUGCCGUGGUUCUGCUUUGUGCAUCUGUGACACAGUAUCCCAGCCGGGACCCUGACCUGAUGCCGUGGCGGGCAGAGCUCUGAGCCGUCGUGUGGCACGCGUGGAUUGUGUACUCGCCCCCCCUAGCCAAGAGGUGGGGCAUCCCCACAGCACAGAGCGCUCCCUCCAGCCGCCCCUGGUAGACCCACCCUGCUCGACCCGGGGCGCCCCCGAGCUGUUCUCCAUCACCCCCUUCCCCGGUGCGGCCUUACAGCACACAGCCUCUGGAGACCGGCUCUCGCCACUCGGCGGGGUGCCCCAGAGAGACCUUCAAAUUCUCACGUGUAUGGGGCGUUCUUCCUUUUUGUGCGAGUGCUGUUCUGUGCCGCGCGUGGGCCCGAUCAUCUCCCUAUUUUAAGGUCCCUGACGUCAGUCCCGUGCAGGCACAGUGUCCCGGGUGAGAGUGCGGGCAUCUCUGGGACCCAUCUGGCCCACGCAGGAGACGAGGGAGGGGUGGAGGGGUGGUCUAGGCGCUGGCCUACCAUGUCUGCCCUGCAUUCCCAGGUGCAGGCGCACCUGCACAGCCGCCGCCGGCUGCGGACCGGAAACUCUCUCACCCCAGCCGCUUGCCCGGUCGCCAGGGAGCUUCUGCUGCUCCGAGGACAGCUAGCACACCCCUCAUCAGAGCCUGUCCGGACCCCCCCAGCGGCGGCCGAGAGGACUCACCAGCCCCUUCCUGUACAUGUGUUGUAGGUUACCCGGCGCCCCACAGCUGGGGCCCUGGACCAAAGAGGUGCUCCUUGGGCAUGUCGCCUCUGCUAGUCCAGCCAGUGUGUAUUGGGGGAGACCGUAUCGGGUAUCUCCCCUGUAAGCCUGCUGCCUCUUACCUGUAGUCCCAGUGAGAGAGAAGGGUGCUGUGUCUGUCCCCCACCAGCCUAGGGGGGAAGCCUGGCCUUCCCUCCGGCGUCUGUGGGGCCUGGAGCCUUGGGGCAGAGUCCAGGAGAGACCAGACUAAGUGACUGAGUGAGGGGUCAGGUGGCCAGAUGCCUCCGUGUGGUGCUGCCCAGUGGACAGUGCCAGAAACCCCGUGUAGACCAGAGCAGAGUCUGUGGUACUCAGAUCCCCAUAGCACGUAACACAGGAGGCUGCUGCCGUGACUCCGGGGGGCUGAGAAGGAGCCCCAAAGAGAAAGGCACCCACACACCCUCCAUCUGUCCUGCCGAGGCUUCAGGUGCUGGCAGCCACGCCACCGGCUCUUCUCCUUCCUGCCUCCUACGGGCUAGUCCUGGCCCAGGCACUGGCCUGCUCUGUGUCUGACGGUGUGGCCCGCAGAACACUAGGACAGUCCCCAGUGCCUCACGACCUUGUGGAAGCCCCCGUCUUGAGCGUGAGUAGAGUUUGCAACGGGAUGAGUGUCACGUCUCUGAUUACGUGACACUCUGAUUACGUGACACAUGGCAAAGGUGACAGGAUUUUCUGGAUGGAAUUAAG
Mustela erminea (ermine) is the source of this 1817-nucleotide long non-coding RNA. RefSeq lists it as uncharacterized. The transcript is spliced from 2 exons. The record is from RefSeq and is a predicted model, not a curated record. NCBI's taxonomy places the organism in Eukaryota, Metazoa, Chordata, Mammalia, Carnivora, Mustelidae.